ACUCAAAUGGAAUUUGAAGUCUCCGAUGCUAUUCAAGUUCCAUCAAAUUCAAUGCAAGAUUCGAUCUUGACAAUUCCUUUAUUGCCACUAGAACUCAUCACUUAAAUUCUGUUGAGGCUUCCAGUGAAAUCCCUCUUGAAAUUCAGGUCUGUUUCACAAUCUUGACUUGCUUUAAUCUCUAAUCAUGUAUUUAUCAAGACUCAUCUUAGUUUAUCUGCUAAUAACAAGAAUACGGAAGACACCCACCAUGUACUUUUUUUGGAUAUUGGUGGAAAGAAAUGGAAUUACAAAGAAUGUCCUCUUAAAUCUUUAUUUUAUGACGCUGUUACCGUGGCUCUUGAAUUGGAUUUUUCCAUUGAAAACGACAUGUAUUGGCUCUAUGUUAAGGGUUCUUGCAAUGGAUUGGUUUAUCUUGCCCAUGAUAGUUUAGAAUAUUCCCUUUUAUGGAAUCCAACAACUAGAAAGCACAAGAAUUUGCCACUUUUUAGACCUAGAUUGAAAAAAUAGGAACGCGCAUAUGGUUUUGGAUAUGAUGAGCUCCAUGAUGAUUAUAAGGUAGUGAUUAUUUCUUAUAAUUAUAUUGUUCGCGAUUCAGAUGACAUUGAGGUCAAAGUAUAUAGUCUAAAGAGUGAUUCUUGGACUAGUGUUGAUUAUUGUGAUGAGACAUUCUCUAACAAAAAAAGUGUUGGUUAUUGUGGGGAUAGAUUAAUUUUUUGAAGGCUCUUUUGUGGAUGGAAAAUUUCAUUGGGGUACUUCUAUUUCUGAUCCUGAUCCUAAUGUGCGUAAAGGUAGGAACAUUAUUGCUUUUGAUUUAGCUAAUGAGAAAUGGGAAAAGGUGGAGAAGCCCUCCUAUGGAGAAGGAGAGACUGAAUUGCUUGUGGGAAAGUUAGGAAGUCAUCUUUCUGUCUUCUGUGAUUAUAAGACAACUCAUUUAGGUGCUUGGGUUAUGAAGGAGUAUGGAGUGAAAGAAAGUUGGAUAAAGAUGUUUACCAUCAGGUAUCCAAAUGAUCCAGAAUGGUAUCCAAGCUUUUUCAUGUCAAAUAAAGGUGAAAUAUUGUCGGUGUUUAGAGCAACUUCCAUGAUAUACAAUUUAAAUGAUGACUCAUUCAGAUAUUCAGAUGUUACUAACUGUCAUGACGGUUGAUAUGCACAAUUCUACCUUGAAAGCCUAGCUUGCCCUUUUUCAACCCAAGGGACAGAGGACGCCAAAAAGCUGCUCGUAUCAAAACAAUCGAGUGACAAAUAACUUGUAAGAGUACUUUCUUCUCAAGUGCUUUCAAAUUCUGUUUGUUAUUUCAAAUAUUAAACAAGACACACAUGUGAAGGAUCUCUUUAAACUAUAUUGCUUCUGGAUUAGUUUUGGUUGUCUCCUUGCUGCUAAUCGUUAGAUGUAUAUUUUCUUCCAGACGAAUUACUUGUCAUUCCAUUUUGGUCAUUUCUUUCCCUUUGACAGUACCACUAACACAAGCAACACUGCAAUGCAAGGAUAAAGAACUUAGGAGGCUCAUUUUAUCUGCUUUGAUCAUGAGGGUAGGGUGGGGAUACCAAAGAAAAAGAAUAUAAGAGAAAGAGAGUUCGGAAUGAACUUCGUUUGAGAGGGUCCUAUCUAUUCUAAGGUUUUGUAGAUUGAAGUGCAAGCUUUUGUCAACUUUGUUAUAUGACCUAGAAUUUUGAACAAGAAUUAUUCCUACUAUAAAUUCUUUUCUCUUGUUUCUACACAGACUGGCAAAUUUUAUCUAUAGUUUGACCUAUCAAUAAAUAAAAGAAAAAUUGUAUAUGUAGUUUUACCUUUUCUGAUAAUUUGUAUAUGGUUUCUUGCUUUGUAAAUCACUUAAUUACUCCUUUUGGGCAGCAUAAUAUGAUCAUGUGAUUGUCAUGAGUACUGCUUGUGAGUUUUCUUAACCAUAGUUCUUAUGAUAUUUAUUUAUAACAUAUAUCACUUGAAGUUGCACUGGUCUGGACAUCAGAUAUGCUAACUAUGGUAUAUUUGUUUGUUCAUUGCUUAAGUUGCACAGUUCAGCGCUUUUGUCAUGUCCCAGAUGUGUAGCUGGUAUUGAUAAAGAGCUUGUCAUUUUCAUUCAAACAAGGCGGACUGUUACUAAUUAUGGUUUUGUUUGCUAGUACAUUUGAACACAGGACAACCCUGCAUUUGGUGCUUCUAUAUCUGCUGUGUUUCUACUUGUCAUCAUUUGAGUUGUUAUUUAUGUGACAAAAAGUUGUUCCUAUUCUUGAUGUUGAUCUCCGAAAGAAGUUAUAUGUAUAUUUUGUGAACUGGAAGUUAGGUUCAGUGUUUCGGAUCCCAACAAGAAUGGAAGAUGGUGCAACAUAGAUCAUGGACGUUACUUCAAAUGGAAAAAACCUUAGCCUGCCUCACUUGCUUUUUUCACUACAUAAAUAAGGAUAUAAGUGAAGUCCGAUAUGUAUGGAUGAUGGAUGACACACCCAGAAUUGCUAGGUAUAAACUUAGAGAUUAAUUAUAAUAUGUUUCUUUCCAUUCCUCAUGAGCCACUUAUUUCUCCGAAACAAGAGAUUAAAGUCAUCUUUCUCCUUUUCCCUAAGAAGUCGACGGUGUUAAUUUAUUCAAGUUGUUGAGACCAUAAAAAAGGGAAGAAACAAAUGAAGGUCUCUUGUUAAUUCAAAUGAUUUUAGGUUAAUUUGAUUUGGUUUGUCU
Molecule: long non-coding RNA, 2671 nt
Filed under: Solanum tuberosum (potato)
Lineage: Eukaryota; Viridiplantae; Streptophyta; Magnoliopsida; Solanales; Solanaceae
Description: long non-coding RNA (STUB_LNC001981)
Source: RNAcentral